GACUAAACUCAGACGUUCUAAUGAGAGUCUGGCGGUCGCUUCCCUAAGUGUUAAAAUCGCUCAGAGGCUGGUCCUGUCCCCGGUCUUUCACCACAGGGCCAUGUAAACAGCUGCUAUCCGGAGUUUUCCUGCUUCAGAUCCUUCAGUGACCCCCUGGACGCGCCACGCGCCGCUUAAAGUUCUUACCAGCGAGAUGGAUCCAAGUCUUUCCGGUCCCCCAAGCCUCGCCCUCUUUUCACAGGCGUGCCCCCUUUUCAGUGCCUUAAAUGAGAGGAAAUCUAUCUGAUGUUUACUGCUGAUUGUGAUGUUUGAGUCUCCAUUGGGCUUUUGCUAAAACCUAAAUAAAUAUUUAGUGGACAAAAUUAGGUUAGUGCAAAAGUAAUGGCAAAACCGCGAUCAGUUUUGCACCAACCUAAUAUUUAUGGGCCGGGGCUGGAAUUUGUCUUCUCCUGAGGCCCAGGCUGGACAAUUCCUUGAGCACAGGAGUUUGAGACCACUCUGGACAACAUAGGACACUUGACGUUCAGGGAUGUGGCCAUAGAAUUCUCUCA
RNAcentral lists this small RNA (551 nucleotides) under Pongo abelii (Sumatran orangutan). Its description in RNAcentral is "processed transcript". The record is from RNAcentral. Lineage: Eukaryota; Metazoa; Chordata; Mammalia; Primates; Hominidae.